RNAcentral lists this transfer RNA (72 nucleotides) under Ovis aries (sheep). It matches the Rfam family "tRNA". From Rfam's summary of the family: Transfer RNA (tRNA) molecules are approximately 80 nucleotides in length. Their secondary structure includes four short double-helical elements and three loops (D, anti-codon, and T loops). Further hydrogen bonds mediate the characteristic L-shaped molecular structure. tRNAs have two regions of fundamental functional importance: the anti-codon, which is responsible for specific mRNA codon recognition, and the 3' end, to which the tRNAs corresponding amino acid is attached (by aminoacyl-tRNA synthetases). tRNAs cope with the degeneracy of the genetic code in two manners: having more than one tRNA (with a specific anti-codon) for a particular amino acid; and 'wobble' base-pairing, i.e. permitting non-standard base-pairing at the 3rd anti-codon position. The record is from Rfam by way of RNAcentral. Lineage: Eukaryota; Metazoa; Chordata; Mammalia; Artiodactyla; Bovidae.
UCCCUGGUGGCUCAGAGGUUAAAGCAUCUGCCUCCAAUGCAGGAGACCUAGGUUUGAUCCCAGGGUCGGGAA